UUCACUUACGCAGGAGCAUAUCA
Molecule: non-coding RNA, 23 nt
Filed under: Arabidopsis thaliana (thale cress)
Lineage: Eukaryota; Viridiplantae; Streptophyta; Magnoliopsida; Brassicales; Brassicaceae
Source: RNAcentral